CUGGGAUAACUCCGGGAAACCGGGGCUAAUACCGGAUGGUUGUUUGAACCGCAUGGUUCAAACAUAAAAGGUGGCUUCGGCUACCACUUACAGAUGGACCCGCGGCGCAUUAGCUAGUUGGUGAGGUAACGGCUCACCAAGGCAACGAUGCGUAGCCGACCUGAGAGGGUGAUCGGCCACACUGGGACUGAGACACGGCCCAGACUCCUACGGGAGGCAGCAGUAGGGAAUCUUCCGCAAUGGACGAAAGUCUGACGGAGCAACGCCGCGUGAGUGAUGAAGGUUUUCGGAUCGUAAAGCUCUGUUGUUAGGGAAGAACAAGUACCGUUCGAAUAGGGCGGUACCUUGACGGUACCUAACCAGAAAGCCACGGCUAACUACGUGCCAGCAGCCGCGGUAAUACGUAGGUGGCAAGCGUUGUCCGGAAUUAUUGGGCGUAAAGGGGCUCGCAGGCGGUUUCUUAAGUCUGAUGUGAAAGCCCCCGGCUCAACCGGGGAGGGUCAUUGGAAACUGGGGAACUUGAGUGCAGAAGAGGAGAGUGGAAUUCCACGUGUAGCGGUGAAAUGCGUAGAGAUGUGGAGGAACACCAGUGGCGAA
This 597-nucleotide ribosomal RNA is filed under the name Bacillus sp. (in: firmicutes). RNAcentral's name for it is "bacterial SSU rRNA". It matches the Rfam family "Bacterial small subunit ribosomal RNA", at positions 138 to 719 of the family's 1533-position model. The record is from RNAcentral. Lineage: Bacteria; Bacillati; Bacillota; Bacilli; Caryophanales; Bacillaceae.